CUUUCCUACGGGGCGCAGCAGUGAGGAAUAUUGGUCAAUGGUCGGGAGACUGAACCAGCCAAGCCGCGUGAGGGAUGAAGGUACAGAGUAUCGUAAACCUCUUUUGUCAGGGAACAAAGGCGGGGACGUGUCCCCGGAUGAGUGUACCUGAAGAAAAAGCAUCGGCUAACUCCGAGCCAGCAGCCGCGGUAAUACGGAGGAUGCGAGCGGUAUCCGGAUUUAUUGGGGUUAAAGGGUGCGCCGGAGGUCUGUUAAGUCAGCGGUCAAAGCCCGGGGCGCAAUCACGGCCCGCCGU
Molecule: ribosomal RNA, 295 nt
Filed under: uncultured bacterium
Lineage: Bacteria
Description: partial 16S ribosomal RNA
Rfam family: Bacterial small subunit ribosomal RNA
Source: RNAcentral